Non-coding RNA from Dryococelus australis, 82 nucleotides. Lineage: Eukaryota; Metazoa; Arthropoda; Insecta; Phasmatodea; Phasmatidae. The record is from the annotation of a GenBank genome assembly.
GGUAGUAUGGCCGAGUGGUCUAAGGCGCUGGUUUAACGCACCAGCCUCUUCGGAGGCGUGGGUUGAAGUCCCGCCGCUGUCA